Molecule: ribosomal RNA, 239 nt
Filed under: uncultured bacterium
Lineage: Bacteria
Description: partial 16S ribosomal RNA
Rfam family: Bacterial small subunit ribosomal RNA
Source: RNAcentral
CCGGCACGGGUGAGUAACACGUAUGCAAUCCACCUGUAACAGGGGGAUAACCCGGAGAAAUCCGGACUAAUACCCCAUAAUAUGGGCGCUCCGCAUGGAGAGCCCAUUAAAGAGAGCAAUUUUGGUUACAGACGAGCAUGCGCUCCAUUAGCCAGUUGGCGGGGUAACGGCCCACCAAGCACGAUGGAUAGGGGUUCUGAGAGGAAGGUCCCCCACAUUGGAACUGAGACACGGUCCAA